GAUGAACGCUGGCGGCGUGCAUAACACAUUCAAGUCGAACGGAGUUAUUAUCUUAGAUCCCUUCGGGGUGACGAGGUUUUAACUUAGUGGCGGACGGGUGAGUAACGCGUGAGCAACCUGCCCUUGUGUGGGGGAUAACGUUUGGAAACGAACGCUAAUACCGCAUAACGUGUCGAGAUCGCAUGGUCAUGACACCAAAGAUUUAUUGCGCAAGGAUGGGCUCGCGUCUGAUUAGAUAGUUGGUGAGGUAACGGCUCACCAAGUCGACGAUCAGUAGCCGGACUGAGAGGUUGAACGGCCACAUUGGAACUGAGAUACGGUCCAGACUCCUACGGGAGCAGCAGUGGGGAAUAUUGGGCAAUGGGCGAAAGCCUGACCCAGCGACGCCGCGUGAAGGAAGAAGGUCUUACGGAUUGGUAAACUUCUUUUAUCUAGGACGAAAACUGAACGGUACCUGAUGAAUAAGCCAACGGCUAACUACGUGCCAGCAGCCGC
RNAcentral lists this ribosomal RNA (495 nucleotides) under uncultured bacterium. RNAcentral's name for it is "bacterial SSU rRNA". It matches the Rfam family "Bacterial small subunit ribosomal RNA", at positions 28 to 518 of the family's 1533-position model. The record is from RNAcentral.